This 1280-nucleotide long non-coding RNA is filed under the name Homo sapiens (human). Its description in RNAcentral is "HSALNT0002440". The record is from RNAcentral. Lineage: Eukaryota; Metazoa; Chordata; Mammalia; Primates; Hominidae.
CAGAAACAGCUGAGUUACAGUUAAGGGACUCUUGGGGAGUUGCCUGUACCCAUUCGCCCUCCUCCCUGGCUGCAGAUUAUAACUGCAUGAUUAAGUGAAUAAGUGGCCUUUCUGUCUUCUUUCUCCAGGGGGCCAGAGAUGGGCCAGAAAAGCAAGCCUGGCUCAGGAAAGGCACCAUGCAGAAAUGCUGUUCCCAUUACACAGGUGGCAAGACUGAGGUCCCACCUUUAGGUCCCAAUUCUCUAUUUGGGAGACAAGGGAAGAUCUCAGGUUUCCAACAGGUGGCAAAUCUUUACUUUCAUUCUCUGUUCCCUCUCCCCACUUAUUAAUAUCAUGUGUUCUGAGUGUCAGGGUGGGGACACUGGUGGAGACCCCCCCCAAUGUACGAUCACUACUAACAUAGCUGACAUCCAUGAGCAACUGCCAUGUAGCCGGCACCGUGCUGAGUAACCAGCUCGAAGCUUCUUCACAACAACCUUAGAGGGCACUUUCUGGAAGGAUAUCAAUGUCUGGACCCAAAGUGUGCGGUUUUGAACAUCACUCACUCAGCCUCGCCCGCUGCCAGCACUCCAGUUGGUUCCGCUGCCAUCCCUGAUCCUUUGAUCCAAGAGAAGUGCUGAGAGCCUCUUUCUCCCCUCAGAGGCAGUGGGUUUCAAACCUUGAGGCAGCGUUUUCAUGUCCUCACCCACAUUGCCGGUCCAGUCUUGCCUAGUGGGAACGUGAUCCACGAGGCCCUUCAUGUGGCAGAUAAUGAGGUGGAUGGCUCUUUCAAACACCUCCUCCCAGAGGCCCUCCAGACUGCUGCAGUCCACAAGGUGCUCUCUGAACUCCCAGGGGACUUCUGCUUCAACACCUAAUUGUAGCUUGUCCUCUAAACGAACAGCUUCCUACUUCUCUGUCUUGCGUAAAGCCCUUCAGGACAAGAAUACAUUUUCUCCUUCUCUUAUGUUCUCUGUGGGUCCUUGGGUGGAACUGAACACAAAAUCCAGCAAAUGAAAUAAAAUCAAGGUGAGAUUUAUUUAACCUGGACUGUCAGACACCCCACCAGGCGUGUUUGCAUCCAAGCUUUCAUUUGGUUCCCACCAACAGCCCUGUGAAUUGGAUAUUCGGACACAUACUUUUACACACAAAGAAACUGACACUUAAGACAGACUGUGUCACACGCCCAAGGUCACAUAAAGAGCGAAAGAAGGGCUGUUGAUGCAACUGCCAGGCUUUCAUUCCUUUGGUAUUUACCAAGUGUCUUCCAUGCGCCAGGCUGUGGGCUCAGCUCCCCAGGG